GCCCGAAUGGUGGAAUAGGUAGACACGCCGGACUUAAAAUCCUGUGGACAGAAAUGUCCGUGCCGGUUCGAUCCCGGCUUCGGGUA
RNAcentral lists this transfer RNA (86 nucleotides) under Alistipes sp. RNAcentral describes it as "tRNA-Leu". It matches the Rfam family "tRNA". Rfam says of the family: Transfer RNA (tRNA) molecules are approximately 80 nucleotides in length. Their secondary structure includes four short double-helical elements and three loops (D, anti-codon, and T loops). RNAcentral also lists the same sequence under 1 other name. The record is from RNAcentral. Lineage: Bacteria; Pseudomonadati; Bacteroidota; Bacteroidia; Bacteroidales; Rikenellaceae.